UGCGUAGGGUGCAAGCGUUAAUCGGAAUUACUGGGCGUAAAGCGUGCGCAGGCGGUGAUGUAAGACAGAUGUGAAAUCCCCGGGCUCAACUUGGGAACUGCAUUUGUGACUGCAUCGCUGGAGUGCGGCAGAGGGGGAUGGAAUUCCGCGUGUAGCAGUGAAAUGCGUAGAUAUGCGGAGGAACACCGAUGGCGAAGGCAAUCCCCUGGGCCUGCACUGACGCUCAUGCACGAAAGCGUGGGGAGCAAACAGG
Molecule: ribosomal RNA, 253 nt
Filed under: uncultured bacterium
Lineage: Bacteria
Description: partial 16S ribosomal RNA
Rfam family: Bacterial small subunit ribosomal RNA
Source: RNAcentral